AACUAACUCUUUCUUCAUGCCUAACACAUGCAAGUCGAACGAGACCUUCGGGUCUAGUGGCUCACGGGUGCGUAACGCGUGGGAACCUGCCCUUAGGUUCGGAAUAACUCCCCGAAAGGGGUGCUAAUACCGGAUAAUGUCUUCUGACCAAAGAUUUAUCGCCUUUGGAUGGGCCCGCGUUGUAUUAGCUAGUUGGUAGGGUAAAAGCCUACCAAGGCGACGAUCCAUAGCUGGUCUGAGAGGAUGAUCAGCCACACUGGGACUGAGACACGGCCCAGACUACUACGGGAGGCAGCAGUGGGGAAUAUUGGACAAUGGGCGAAAGGCUGAUCCAGCAAUGCCGCGUGAGUGAUGAAGGCCUUAGGGUUGUAAAGCUCUUUUACCCGGGAUGAUAAUGACAGUACCGGGAGAAUAAGCUCCGGCUAACUCCGUG
This 433-nucleotide ribosomal RNA is filed under the name uncultured bacterium. RNAcentral's name for it is "partial 16S ribosomal RNA". It matches the Rfam family "Bacterial small subunit ribosomal RNA", at positions 29 to 507 of the family's 1533-position model. The record is from RNAcentral.